RNAcentral lists this transfer RNA (75 nucleotides) under archaeon. RNAcentral's name for it is "tRNA-Arg". It matches the Rfam family "tRNA". Rfam says of the family: Transfer RNA (tRNA) molecules are approximately 80 nucleotides in length. Their secondary structure includes four short double-helical elements and three loops (D, anti-codon, and T loops). The record is from RNAcentral.
GCCUUCGUAGCUCAGCUUGGAUAGAGCACCUGCCUUCUAAGCAGGGGGUCGCGGGUUCGAAUCCCGUCGGGGGCA